UCCUAGUGCAAUUGGAGGAGUAGCUUACUACAAAGAAGUCUCAAGCUAACAUAACAAAGGCUACUUUAGGAGAAGCCAAGAUCUUUUUGGAGGAAGAUGAGAAAUCUCUUAAGAUAAGGAUCGCCCAGCUCUAAGAGAGUGAAGCCGAGGCUACUUGCUUGUGGGAUCAGCUGGUGAGGACUGAAAGGGCUGUGCACCAAGCUAGAGAAGAGGCGACCCAAGCAAAGGAGUGAAGAAAAUCUAGGUGAUCAGCAUG
This 256-nucleotide long non-coding RNA is filed under the name Elaeis guineensis (African oil palm). RNAcentral's name for it is "long non-coding RNA (EGUI_LNC031796)". The record is from RNAcentral. Lineage: Eukaryota; Viridiplantae; Streptophyta; Magnoliopsida; Arecales; Arecaceae.